AGGUAACGAAAGGCAAGCUGUGGCAAAACAAGUUCUACCCCCUCCCCUAAAAAACAGGCAGGGGUGGGGGGAUCCAGAGGCCUCUAUUAAAUGAGUAUAUAAAGCAAUUCCUCAGAGCAAAGGCACAGGUGUACAAGAUGACUCUGGAAAAGCAAUUGGAAAUUCCCUGUGGCCGCUGUGUAAAUCCCCUUCAUUCAGAGGUCAGCGGUUGGUGUUUGUAGCUAAGGAGCGUCUUCCACUGGCUACUCUGGGUGCUUCUGUUUAUAUGACAGUUUUUAUCCUGGUGCUAAGAGAACCCUGUCAGAUGAAGUGUAAGCCACAUUUACCUGUGUGGCAAUAUAAGAAGACAAGCAGGGAAUGGAGCCGGGGGAGUGAGGCCCUGAACAAAACUCUUGUAUACUUUCCAAGUAGACCAGAACAAAGCGAAAACAGACAAAACCUCAGCGAUGCCAUCAGCUGGCCUUACAAGCCUUCCAUAUGAAUUCAAUAACCAGACCACAAAUGGAUGAGUGAAAUGCUUUCUAACUGCAGAAAGAACUCAAACCGCAAAACAUUUGCCCAUUUGACUCAGCUGCAGCAGAAAUGCAAAGCAAUAGGCAUCUGGAAUUAAUCUUCACAGGAAAAAAAAUAUAAUUUUUUGGACUGAGAUUAAGCAUGAAAACUUUAAUCCUCAACUAAUUAUUUACAUGGUUAUAAAGGAAAUGAAAAAAGGCAGUUCGAAUGGAAUAGUUCUGGCAGCCUUAUUUAUGGCUCUGUGGUACCUUUGAUUCACUGCUUUCCAACGUCAAUAGAGCUGAAAAGGUCUUAAUGUAUUAUAAAUGAACAAUGGAACUAAUCUCACAUGGCACCAUUGCCAAUUUCCGUAAGAGAAAUGUAUGUGGACUAAUAGAAUUCACUCCAUAUUGGAAGCUCUGUUAAAAGAAAGUCGAAGAGGUACUGUCAGUUCAAAAGUCGUACGGCAAAUCUGAGAAGCAGCAUGUGAUCUUUUGGACUGUGAGGCAUGAAUAUAUAUUCUGGAAGCACUUGACUUGUAGGCCUAGUCACUCUCUGGUGGCUAUCACACAGAGAGCCUUCAAACACUGCAUUCCAAUAUCAGUGUACCAGUCAGUCAUUGGUGUUCUGCCUUCGGUGAAGAUGUCUUAGGCUGGUAGCAGAAAUGUGCUAACUAGGCUAUGCUAACUCUGGCAAAAGACAGAACCCCUUGUAGUAGUAACAGUACCAAUAUGAAGCUGUCAUCAUACGAAGGCCAUUGACUGAAGCUUUUCAAGUUGUUGUGGUGGUGGUGGUGGUAGUGGUGUGUGUGUGUGUGUGUGUGUGUGUGUGUGUGUGUUUAAAUCAAAGGGAAUGAGCUGACUUUUAUUAUCUUCUAGGCAGAGCAUUUGGUCAGUGAGCAGCCCACAUCUAAAACUAAAUACAGAACUGUAUCUUAACCAGUUCAAUUGUUGUGGGGAAGCCGGUGGAAAGGUUUGCAUCUGUUAUGU
This is a long non-coding RNA of Pogona vitticeps (central bearded dragon), 1481 nucleotides long. The record is from Ensembl. NCBI's taxonomy places the organism in Eukaryota, Metazoa, Chordata, Lepidosauria, Squamata, Agamidae.